This 486-nucleotide ribosomal RNA is filed under the name Bacillus sp. BPDM2. Its description in RNAcentral is "bacterial SSU rRNA". It matches the Rfam family "Bacterial small subunit ribosomal RNA", at positions 54 to 523 of the family's 1533-position model. The record is from RNAcentral. Lineage: Bacteria; Bacillati; Bacillota; Bacilli; Caryophanales; Bacillaceae.
CAUGCAAGUCGAGCGAAUCAAAGGGAGCUUGCUCCCGGAGAUUAGCGGCGGACGGGUGAGUAACACGUGGGCAACCUGCCUGUAAGACUGGGAUAACUUCGGGAAACCGGAGCUAAUACCGGAUAGUUUCUUCCCUCUCAUGAGGGAAGAUGGAAAGACGGUCUCGGCUGUCACUUACAGAUGGGCCCGCGGCGCAUUAGCUAGUUGGUGAGGUAACGGCUCACCAAGGCGACGAUGCGUAGCCGACCUGAGAGGGUGAUCGGCCACACUGGGACUGAGACACGGCCCAGACUCCUACGGGAGGCAGCAGUAGGGAAUCUUCCGCAAUGGACGAAAGUCUGACGGAGCAACGCCGCGUGAGCGAUGAAGGCCUUCGGGUCGUAAAGCUCUGUUGUCAGGGAAGAACAAGUGCCAGAGUAACUGCUGGCGCCUUGACGGUACCUGACCAGAAAGCCACGGCUAACUACGUGCCAGCAGCCGCGGUAA